RNAcentral lists this long non-coding RNA (361 nucleotides) under Trifolium pratense (red clover). RNAcentral's name for it is "long non-coding RNA (TPRA_LNC008149)". The record is from RNAcentral. Lineage: Eukaryota; Viridiplantae; Streptophyta; Magnoliopsida; Fabales; Fabaceae.
CAGCACUCAUCCCAAUUCUAAUAUACACAUAGAUAUAUUAUUUUUUUAGGUGAUUUUUAAAUUACUAUAUUUCAUUUAUUUUUUAAUAAAAAUUCAUACUAAAUUGAUAAUAUGAAUAUUUUAAAAGGGGAAGAUGCUGAGAAAAAGAAUAAAGUAGCUGCAACCUAUUUAGCGCGACUUCUACGCUGUUUCUAUAUCAUAUCGUAUCAUAUCACUUCAUCAUCCUUCUGAUCACUUCUUUUCUUCUUCUCCGUUAACACACACAAACUCAAUAUCCUCUUCCAUUCAAUUCAAUUCAAUCAUGCAUCAAGGAGAUUACACCUCCGCUCCAUACUAUCAAUUCCCUCAUAUGCAGCAAAAC